CUGGUUUUGCUUCCCCGUUGAGUUUACCAUGUCCAAAAUAAACCUUCUGAGAUCGUUCGUCAUCGAGCGACUAACUGCAGCAGCUGAGGAGAUAUUAGGAGCUUUCGAGAGGACCAUAGCGGAGUAUGAGGACGAGAGAGAGCGACAGAGGAGACUGCUGGACAUGGUGUUGAAGCCCAGGAUCACGUUACACAGAAUAGACUAUGUACAGGUAUCUCAUCAGCAGCAUCAUAAGCAGGAGAGGAGCCCCACUCUGGCUAAGGAGGAACAACAGGAACUCUGGAUCAGUCCACAGGAAGACCACCUUCCAUUGCAGGAGGUAGCUGAUACCUCUGAGUCCAUAUUUACCCCUCUUUGUGAUGGAAAUGAUGAUAGUAAAGAUCAGCCUCUGUCCUCACAACUCUAUCAAACUCAGACAGAGGGAGACACAAAGCCCCCAGCUGUCCCCCCAUUUGAACUGAUACAACUGGAUGUCAAAGAAGAGAACUUGCUAAUAUCAGAACCAACAAGUGACCACCAUACCCUCUCUAACUACUGUUAUGUGACUAAGAGUGAAGCUGACCAUACUUGCAGUCAUCUGAACUGCGCGGAAGCAGAUUCAACUUGGAAAGCCAGGCUGAAACCUCACAAAAAGCCCAACAAGUGCAAAAUUUGUGGGAAAGUGCUUUAUAAUUUGGAAAUUUUCAAAAGUCACAUGACAUUUCACACAGGUGAAAAGCCUUUCAAAUGCACCACUUGUGGGAGAGAUUUUACCUGGAAGUGUAACAUGGAGAGGCAUACAAGGACUCAUGCAGGGGAGGAGCCAUUCAGAUGCACCACGUGCCGGAAAAUGUUUACCGAUGAGUCACGUUUUCAGAGGCACAUAAGGACUCAUACAGGGGAGAAGCCAUUCAGAUGCACCAUGUGCGGGAAAAUGUUUACCCAGAAGUCAAGUUUUCAAAGGCACGUAAGGACUCAUACAGGGGAGAAGCCAUUCAGAUGCACCACAUGUGGGAAAAUGUUUACCCAGAAGUCAAGUUUUCAAAGGCACAUAAGGACUCAUACAGGGGAGAAGCCAUUCAGAUGCACCAUGUGCGGGGAAAUGUUUACCCGGAAGUCAAGUUUAGAAAUGCAUGUAAGGAUUCAUACAGGGGAGAGGCCAUUCAGAUGCACCACCUGUGGGAAAAUGUUUACUCGGAAGUCACAUUUGCGAACGCACGUAAAAACUCAUACAGGGGAGAAGCCAUUCAGAUGCACCAUGUGCGGGAAAAUGUUUACCCGGAAGUCAAGUUUACAAAUGCACGUAAGGAGUCAUACAGGGGAGAAGCCAUUCAGAUGCAACAUGUGCGGGAAAAUGUUUACUCGGAAUUCAGAUUUACAAAUGCAUGUAAGGACUCAUACAGGUGAGAAGCCGUUCAGAUGCACCACAUGCGGGAAAAUGUUUACCCGUAAGUCACAUUUACUAAGGCACAUGAGGACUCAUAUACAAGGGAGAAGACAUUCAGAUGCUGUAAUUGUGGAAAUGGGUUCAGCUCAAAACGUCAUCUCAAACAACAUGUCAUGAUCCACACAGGUGAGAUUGGCAUUUCCACUGCCAAUAGUGGGUCAGCUGCAUGACCUGAACCCAGGCGAUUGGGUGCUGAUAAAUGACCUAAAGAGAAAAAAUUGGCGAAGCCCCGUGGGCGAGGUCCCACCAAGUGCUCUUGGCCACACCUACGACGAUGAAGGUGGAGGGGAGAAUCAGCUGGACACAUGCCAACCACUGCAAGAAGGUGCCACCACUGGAAACAGAGGUCAGGGUGAGAGACCCGCUCCACUCACAAUCGAGGAAGAGAAGUAGACGUGGCCAGCUCUAAAUGAGGUUUAGAAACGUACAGAGUUCUGCUCCUCAGAGCAUCAAAGCCACUGCACCCACUGUGGUUUUACCUCGAAUCCCUCCUACUUCCUCCAAUGGUUGAGGUUAUGUUGGAAGUUCAAAUUGUCCCAUCAGGAGUUCUGCUCCUCAGAAUGUCAAAGCCACUGCACCCACCAUGGGUAUACCUCGAAUCCCUCCUACUUCCUCUAAUGGAGUUCUGCUCCUCAGAGCCUCAAAACCUUUGCACCUGCUGUGGUUCUACCUGGACUCACUCCUACCUCCUGCAGUGAUGGGUAUUUCGUUAGACCUGCGACUGGUCCUACCAGGAGCUCUGCUCUUCAGACUGGUACAGUCUGUGCUCUUGCCAUGGUGGAUCCUCCUGCAUUCUUCAGUAGAAAGAGAGGAAGAGAAAUUAGCAUGUGCCCAAUUUCUCAUUUUGGUCCUGGGCACAGGAGAGCGAGGUGAUUUAUAAUGGCCCAACAGCUCACUGAACCAGUCUGUGGUAAAAAGAGCAGAGAGACCAGUGGUAAAGAAGAUUCCUACCCAGACUGCAAGAAGGUCAAGAAGGUACAGGGGGACUCAUGCCACCGAUUUGUUGGUUAACUCUGCAAAAUGCCCUGACACAAAUGCUUUCUACUGUCCUCUGUUGUCACUGUAAAUAUUAAUAAACAUA
Lampris incognitus (smalleye Pacific opah) is the source of this 2507-nucleotide RNA transcript. It is a transcript of the gene named gastrula zinc finger protein XlCGF28.1-like, with no coding region annotated. The record is from RefSeq and is a predicted model, not a curated record. NCBI's taxonomy places the organism in Eukaryota, Metazoa, Chordata, Actinopteri, Lampriformes, Lampridae. The transcript is spliced from 6 exons.